RNAcentral lists this long non-coding RNA (3013 nucleotides) under Cricetulus griseus (Chinese hamster). RNAcentral describes it as "lncRNA (ENSCGRG00000026135.1)". The record is from RNAcentral. Lineage: Eukaryota; Metazoa; Chordata; Mammalia; Rodentia; Cricetidae.
GUCCACAACAUCUUACCCCUCCCGGUGCCUAUGUAAGGUGUGUGGGGUGACUUGUCAUUAGUGAUGCCCAGAGGACAAAGUGAAGCUAUUGAUGCCUCAGCCCAGCUGGGGGACAUUUGUGAGUGAAGUUGAUCCUGAACCUGACCCCAGCCCAGUGGACAUGUCUCAUUAGACGGCAGUGCCCUUGGUGGUAGGUGAGAACAGGUUGGAGCAGGUUGGGUGAGUGCCCCAAAUGCAGUCAAGUGACUUAGUGGGAUAGGUCUUCUAAGACUCUGAGAUAUCAGGGUAGUCUGGGACAGUCUGUCAGGUUCGUUUCUAAUGUGUCUUUUGUGGCCCUGGCCCAGGCUCAGCAUUUCACCCAGUGUCUCAAGACUCUGUUCAGCGUGCUCAACUAUGAACGGACAAAACAUACUAACCUUCUGGGGGCUUCUGUACUGGGCCUGAAUGAUGUCUACAGGACCUGGCGGGCCUUUGUACUGCAUGUACGCACUCUGAACCCGGCACCCAGGAUGUACUUUGUUAAGGCAGAUGUGACCGGGGCAUAUGAUGCCAUCCCGCAGGAGAAGCUUGUGGAGGUUGUUGCCAAUAUGAUCAGACACCCGGAGAACACAUACUGUAUCCGCCAAUAUGCAGUGAUCCAAAGAGAUAGAGAAGGCCAAAUCCACAGGUCCUUCAGGAGACAGGUGAGGCUAUGGUGGACUUUUCAUCUGUGCUGUGAGCAUGCUGGUGGCACAGGGCUUUUCAUGUCGUGAAUAUCUGGACUCUUUCAGUGACACAGGUAAGGCUGUGAUAGGUCCACAUUUCUGGCAUGUCCAUACAAGGACAUGUCUGUGGCUUGGGUAUCCAUGGUGCCAGUGAUCAUUUGUCAGACCCCAGCGUGCCUCCCUCUACAGGACUCCCAAUGGAGAUCCCCCCAAUAUCCUCUUCAGUAGGUAGGUGGGGUCUGUGGGUUCAAAGGCAGAGGAAUUUAGGCCUGGGAGAGGCGCAAGGUGACUUCCUUUCCCUAUAUAUAGGACAUACAAGACUCACAGGCAAGCUUUAACUAUACAUGCAUGAUAUGUGCAGUGGCCAUGUGGCUUCUGCACCAAGGAUCACUACACCCAGGCGAUUCCUUCCCUACUCUGGUCAGAGCAGCUACCAUUGUGCCUCUGUAGAGGCUAGAUGACAGCAUGUGUGAGUUAUUUUCUCCAUCCACUACAUGGGUCUGGGGAUUGCACUUAAGUCCUUAGGUUUGGUGGUAGGUGUCUUUACUUGCUUAGCCAUUACACCAAUCCCAAGGAAACACCUGAAGUUAUACAUUUCUCUGCAAGACCCCUCAGUAGUCCCGUACACAUGCUGGCUUUUGUCAGUUCAUUAUCACUCAGUUCAAAACCUUCUCUAUUUAUUUAUUUAUUGCAGUUUUUGAUAUACUCUUUAGUGAUUUAGAAGCAUGUUACUUCAUUAUUUUGAAAAUGCAGGCAUUUUCUAUUUAUAUUGCUAUUUUUUUCUUUAUUAAUAAAUUUUUAUUUAAAUUAAAAACAAUCUUAUUUUACAUACCAAUCCCGGUUCCCUCUCCCUCCCCCCACCAACUCCUCAUCCCACCCCCCACCCACUCCCCAGGGAUGGUGAGGCCUCCCAUGGGGGUUCAUUAGAGUCUGUAACAUCAUUUGGGGCAGGACCUAGGCCCCCCUACCCCCCCCCCCCGGUGUAUCUAGGCUGAGAGAAUAUCCCUCCAUAAGGAAUGGGUUCCCAAAGUCCAUUUGUGCACUAGGGAUAAAUACUGGUUCCACUGCCAGCUGCCUCAUAGACAGCCCAGACCUCCGAACUGACACCCACAUUCAGGGGAUCUGGUUCAGUCCUAUGCUGGUUCCCCAGCUGUCAGACUGGGGUCUGUGAGCUCCCUCUUGCUCAGGUCAUAUUGCUAUUCUUUUCUAGGUUAAUUCUUGUACUUUAAUUUCUCUGGGUGACUUUACUCCUAGUACUAUAGCAAACCAACUUGGCACAUGGGUUUUUGGGGUUUUUUUGUGCUACUACUAUAUGUUAAUUGUACAUAAUAAUGGGUUUUGUUAUGACAUCUUUAUGCACAAGUAUAAUGCAUUUUGACCAUAUUCAUACACGCAGCCUAACAUGGGAAAUUAUAAGGUUCAAAGCCAGUGUGCAGUCUCCACAUAUGAGAGCAUGAAACAGAAGUAUUGCAAGUUUGAGGACAGCCAGCAUUACUCAGAGACCCCAGUGUUCACACGUCUGGACGUCUUACACCUAGCAUGCUAGGAAUUGUUCCUGUGCUGUCAGUAGAUGGUGCUGUAUUCCUUCUGGUGACAUCGUGUCUAGAGACAUGGAUCUUGGUGGCCACUGGAUAAAAAGCAGGCAUCCUAAAGAGUCUGUUGCAGGAGAUGAAGGAGCCAUCCCCUCCCUAAUCCUGUCAGCUCUUCCUCCUGACUGCCGCUGUCUCUGUGGAGAAGUUGGGAUGCUACUUGUGUUGUGACCAUCGGUAACCACAGCAUUAUGGGGGUGUCUGACCCAAGGAGAGCUGACUGUGGUGCAACCUGCUGUUUCUGUGGCUCUUCCUGCUAGGGUGCUAGAUUCUCCCUUUUCCUGUUAAGACUCUAGGAUGGAGUGGUCCCACAUUGUUCUGUUGUUGAACUGUGCUGUGACAGUCCUGGCCAGAAAACCAUGUGCCCCUCUGGUUCCCCUCAAGUGUUCACCUCCUCUGUGCUGCAGGUCUCCACCCUCUCUGACCUCCAGCCACACAUGGGCCAGUUCGUGAGGCAUCUUCAGGACUCAGAUACCAGUGCGCUGAGGAACUCCGUUGUCAUUGAGCAGGUCCUUGGGCUCCCCAUUAAUCGGCCGCACCUGGUGGGGCCUUCCUCCUCUACUUGGCUAUUUGCUUCAGUGUAGGAAUGUGACCAAGGUAUUCCUUGGUGGAGAGUUCCCAUGACCAAGGCCACUCUUUCCUGGUGGCAGUCCCCAUCCCUAUGACAUGACCUAGACUCCCCAAUAGCUACUAAGGUGGGCAUGCUCUGAAGUGCCCUGC